UGGGGAAUCUUGCACAAUGGGCGGAAGCCUGAUGCAGCGACGCCGCGUGGGGGAUGACGGCCUUCGGGUUGUAAACUCCUUUCGCCAGGGACGAAGCCGUGAGGUGACGGUACCUGGAUAAGAAGCACCGGCUAACUACGUGCCAGCAGCCGCGGUAAUACGUAGGGUGCGAGCGUUGUCCGGAAUUACUGGGCGUAAAGAGCUCGUAGGUGGUUUGUCGCGUCGUCUGUGAAAUUCCGGGGCUUAACUCCGGGUGUGCAGGCGAUACGGGCAUAACUUGAGUGCUGUAGGGGAGACUGGAAUUCCUGGUGUAGCGGUGAAAUGCGCAGAUAUCAGGAGGAACACCGAUGGCGAAGGCAGGUCUCUGGGCAGUAACUGACGCUGAGGAGCGAAAGCGUGGGUAGCGAACAGG
This 412-nucleotide ribosomal RNA is filed under the name Bacillota bacterium. RNAcentral describes it as "Firmicutes bacterium partial 16S ribosomal RNA". It matches the Rfam family "Bacterial small subunit ribosomal RNA", at positions 355 to 776 of the family's 1533-position model. Lineage: Bacteria; Bacillati; Bacillota. The record is from RNAcentral.